UGGACGUUUGAUGAUGAUGAUGCAUGAAUGUAAAGUUGACGCAAUGAUAUAUGGUCACAUAACAUUGCUUGAGUUUUUAUUGAUGUAAAACAGGCCGGUAUGUGAAUACAAGUAUAUAUUUGAUUUUGAAGUCGUGUAUCUCAUGAUCGUAAGAGGUAAUUAUAUAUAUAUAUGGAACCCAUUAAGUGGAAGUUACCUUUGAAAUCAAUCUCCACCGUCGGAUCAUACUGAGAUUAAAUCUCAGCCACUUAAACUCACCAAAAUAACUGCUACUCUAGCAGUUUAGGGCGGUUCAUUUAAGUUUUCAGCAACUCCACUUUUUUUGCACAGGUUCCGGUAAACCUCCAUGUCUCCUUUUUUUCCUCCCCACGUUGUUGCAGGGCGUUUUCAUUGACAGUGGUGGGUGGUUAUUGAAGUUAAAUGAUAGUAUUAAUGGUUUGCUUCACACAAUUGCCGUCGGCAAGCCUUUCUCCUCUACUCGUCGCCGCUGUUGUUUGAGUCUGACGCCAGCGCCGCCUCCGUUCUACACCCUUUCGUUGCUUAACACACACCGACGCCACAAAAUUUCUGAAAUUGAUCACAAGGUACGCAAUUCUUGAUUCAAAACAGUCAUUGGUAGCAUAAAUCACGAUUAGGGGACAUCUGAUAUACACCCUUCCUCCUCACGUCGCAGGUAGCCUUCAUACACCCUUCCCCUUGUACACAUCUGGUAUAUACACAGACACAUAACAUAGCUUUCAUCAAUGGCUAUCUAAACCUUCAUUCAAUCACAACCUGAUGUUUUACACCCCCACUUUCGUGCUCUUUCCUAAGUUGAUCGUCAGUCGCUUGCGGAAAUCCAUAUCGGCUUCGUCAAUCUUCUUGAUAAUACUAAUCAAGUGCGUUUAUGAAGGAGGUUGAAAUUUUUCAUAAAGAGAGGUGUUUGGAGUUUAAGCCUCCAAAGUUUCAUGGAGAUUUAAUUUCUGGUGCAAAAGAGGGGUGAAUUAGAGGGACGUGUAACUUCCCUAAUUAGGGAGGUUAAAGAGUCGGGCCUACAAUAGUGGGAGCUGGUGAAAUAGCAGAAGUUGCUUCGUUAUGGUCAGGAAUUCCAAUUCAGCAGUUGAUUGUUUAUGAAAGAAUGCUAUUGGUGGGACUUGAUGAACGGUUAAAAGAACGAGUUUGCGGUCAAGAUGAAGCUGUGGAUGUGAGUGUGUGCUGACACAUACGCGUGAGAGAUCACCAUAUUGUGCCUAAAAACGCAAAGGGAUGGAGUGUUCCAAGGUUUUAGUGGAAAUCCCAACGUGUUGCCGCAAACAGUGGUUUACAGUGUCAUCAUCUACUCCGUGAUCGGUCAACGUCAACCAAAGGCUGUUGUGGUGAACUUCUGAAACCCUAGGAACCGGAGCAAAGCAGGCAAUAUUGGCGUCAACCAAAGUUUUGUCGACGGAAGUAUUAUUUGUUAUUUGCAAUAGGAACCUUGUAGAUUUAAGUUGUCAUGUUUAAAUUAUAUUGAAGCCUUUUAAUUUAUUAAUUGCUGAAAGGGAUAGGUUAGAAUGUUUGAAACAAGUUGAAUUUCAAACAGUUUUUGUGGUUUUUUUCUGUUUUUCCUGCAAUUUUUAAGCAAAAAAUCUGAAUUUUCAGUUUUUUUUUUAAAUAUUAUGUCACAAAUGCAUUGCAACUUUUU
This 1663-nucleotide long non-coding RNA is filed under the name Helianthus annuus (common sunflower). RNAcentral's name for it is "hypothetical non coding rna". Lineage: Eukaryota; Viridiplantae; Streptophyta; Magnoliopsida; Asterales; Asteraceae. The record is from RNAcentral.